AAACGCUGAGAAGUGACUGUGUUUGGCCUGUGUCAGCUAAAGGGGGCAUGAGGAUGGGAAAGUUAAAAACAAAAAACAACCACCGUGACACAGCUCAGGGGCAUAGGCCCACUGAGAGUGGGAUUUGAACCCAAGGUCACGCUCACUCUAACAGGCAGCAAAAGACACAGUUCGACAACGCGAAGCCAGCAUUAGGGCCGCUCAGCUAUGUCACAGAUUUGGAAUUGUCAGACACAGGAUGUGUGUGAAUGUGCACACCCACAUAUGUGUGUACGGAAAGAUGUGUUUAUUAUAAGGAACACUUAUUUAUGACAGUGAGUGUGCUCGCAUGGUUCAUCAUAAGCAGCUGGCUCGUGUGAUCCUGGAGCAAACGUCCUGAGAUCUGCAGUCAGCAAGCCGGAGACCCAGGAGACGGCGCUGUAGCUCCCACCUGAAGACAUCCGGCUCAGGACUCAGAGAGCCGAUGUUCCAGUUCCAGUCCAAGGCCUUGUUCUGAGAGAAAACAUUCAAAGGAAGGAUGAGUCAGGGGAAGAAAAGGGAUAAGGACUUUCUGUCACGAUAGGGAAGGCAGAGAUAGCUGUGUGAAUCCCCCGUUCUCAAAAAGAGAAAUCAGUAAAAAGCCAUCCCCCUAGCACACAGUUUUCGGAAGGGCCUGCUGCCUUUUUUAAGCCUCUGAGUUCUGGUUAAGCUGGUUCAGAAUGAAAGUAAUAAUGUUCUCCUGCCCUUGUUUUUCCUGUUCACAUCACUGAGGCCGCAGACCACACGCACACGGUACUGCACGCAUCCGACUCAGGCAGGCCUGGCCCCGGGGCUCCGCGUCCCCUUCCUGUUCCCCCUCACAGCAGACAGCGGCUCCUUCCAGCGCAGCUCUGCAGCUCAGCGAACGUUCCGUCACAUUUUCCUGAAAAAUAUAAGCAAUGUUCCAAUUUCGUUCAAAUGCCAGUGAGGCUGCCUUAAAUUCCUCCGGCCACGGCCCCCAGAAGCCUAGAGAGUCGGCCCCAAACGGAGAAAUGGACAACUCGUCAGAGCACUUGGUCCCGGGGGUCAGGAGUCCAGGCUCUUCCUCUGGUCCAGUGGCCAGCGAGGUGGUGGAGGAUGAAGAAUACGAGCUGAUUCUCUGGGACAGCUCCGCAGGAGCGCCGUCCCAGCGUCCUACCCAAGACAUGUCAGCAGAUCUGCGGGAGAAGGAAAAGAUCCCAAAGAGGCUGAGGCUCCUGCUGGUGGGGAAAAGUGGAAGUGGGAAAAGCGCCACAGGAAACAGCAUCCUGGGCAGGGAAGCCUUCAAAUCCAAGCUCAGCGCCAGACCUGUGACCGUGACCUUCCAGCAUGACUGCCGAGACUGGGCCGGGAAGGAGCUUGAGGUGACCGACACCCCCGAUAUUCUGUCUUCUCGGGUUUCACGGGAAGGGGCAGCUCAGGGCCCCUGGGCAGCUGUCGCCUGCUGCACCCCUGGGCCACAUGCAGUGCUGCUGGUGACACAGCUGGGCCGCUUCACAAAGGAGGACCAGGAGGUGGUCAGGCGCCUCCAGGAGGUCUUUGGGUUGGGUGUCCUGGCCUGCACGAUCCUGGUAUUCACUCACAAGGAGGACCUCGGGGGCAGCUCCCUGGACGAGUAUCUGCGGGACACCGACAACCAGGAGCUCGCAGACCUGGACGUGGUUUGUGCGAGGCGCCACUGUGGCUUCAACAACAGGGCAGAUCGUGCGGGGCUGGAGGCCCAGCUGACGGAGCUCAUGGAGACCAUCGAGGUGAUCCUGUGGGAACAUGAAGGCCGUCCUUACAGCAAGGAGGUGUUGCCAGCCCCGCAUUCUGUGCUGAGAAGGGCAGGUAAGGCAGAGGGUUCAGAGUGAGGCUCUGAGGAAGCAGCCACUGCAGAGUCCUGGCUGGACUGGCUGGACAGAAUCCAGGGCACCUGAGAAAAUCCGCAGACGUCUCCGAAAGGGGCACCAUCUGACUGUGUGCUGACUCCAGUGGGGACAGCCAUUUCCUGGGAGCCUCCCCAACCCUUUGUCCACCUCAGAGCCUGUCGCCUCUCUUUGCAUCCCAUGGCUCCCAGACCCCUUGGGUCUCCAGGGCAGAGUCUGCUGAGUCCCAGCUCCCAUCCCGGUCCUUCAUCUCGCUCUCGGAGCCCGUGUGCACCCUCCCUUCCCCCCUGCAGCCCGCUGUCUCACACGGACCGCACAGAACGAUGGCAUCACAUUUGUUGAAAUUCUUCUCUCUCCUCGAGUGAAACAAAGCUCCCUGAGGGCCGGGUCUCCUCACUCUUCCGUGUCACCCCCACUGCUUUCUGGUCACUGGAGUGACUCCUUACCAAUGACAGCAAAUCAGUGUGUGCCAUUGACCAGGGGACUGUCCAAUCUUGGGCUGUGUCCUCACCCACAGAGGGGGCAGCAUAAUGACUUGAAGGCACCUGAGUGUGUGGUGGGUCAGGACAGAGCCGUGGUUCUGUAGCAGGUGGGGAGGGGCAGCUGCUGGGUGGGGCAGGAGGAGCAAGGGGAAAGAGAGACUUGGCCCGAGGGGCAGCCCAUCCACUAACCCCUGAAGGCAGCCAUUGAACCACAGUAAAUGGGCCUUGUGGGGACUGCUGGUGGGAGUGAUGAGCCAAGUGGGGCUGAGGGGUCCAAAGAGCAGGGCCUGGUUGGGAUGGUGGCCUGAGACCUCCUAUAGGACAUGAGGCCCCAGGAGGUGCCAAGGGGCCUUGGAUAGAGGAAGAGACUUCCCUAAAGCAGACUAGAUUAGGGAUGCUAUGAUUAGGGUCCCUUUUCAUCAUAUCUGCCUCCUGAUGUUAGAAACUAAAGGUGGUUCUCCACCCUAUCUCAGCCUUACCUGCAACCCUUCUAUUCUUACUGGACAGUGGGGAGAGAGGGGGCAUGGGGUCAGUGUCUGGGUGUGUAGUGGGGUCCUCUGUGAGGUAUCUGUGGUGUCGGAUAGAGGGGUGCAGGGAAGAAAGGGAAGCUGCAAAGGGAGCAGCUGAGGCUGUGAGCACGAUAGGAAGCACCUGCCUGAUGGAUGGGGAGGACUCUGCACCCCACAGGGGGUCCUCCUGGAGGGCAGCUUCUGGGGACAAGGCCAUAGGAGGCGAGGUGGACUAGGACCAGAAGACACCAGGAUGGUGGUUGGCCCUGGCCUCUGACUGUGAUCCAAGGUAUCCAGUGCCCCAGGAUGCAGCAGGACAGUGUGCGUGUCAGGGGGACGACAUAGGGGAGCACCUGGGAUUGCCAUUCUUCUCUCACCUUUCCAAACCAAUUAUGCCUGGGAGAACACAGCAGGACCAACUGUGGUGCCAGGUGUAGGACAGAGGAUUCAGAACAGCUGGAUAGUCCACCUGCAGAUUUACCUUCUACCUGACCUUCCUAUGGAAACGUUUCCGUCUCAUCAAAGAC
RNA transcript from Phyllostomus hastatus (greater spear-nosed bat), 3383 nucleotides. It is a transcript of the gene named GTPase IMAP family member 6-like, with no coding region annotated. The record is from RefSeq and is a predicted model, not a curated record. NCBI's taxonomy places the organism in Eukaryota, Metazoa, Chordata, Mammalia, Chiroptera, Phyllostomidae. The transcript has 5 exons.